UGGGGAAAUAUUGGACAAUGGGCGCAAGCCUGAUCCAGCCAUACCGCGUGGGUGAAGAAGGCCUUCGGGUUGUAAAGCCCUUUUGUUGGGAAAGAAAAGCAGUCGGCUAAUACCCGGUUGUUCUGACGGUMCCCAAAGAAUAAGCACGGGCUAACUUCGUGC
RNAcentral lists this ribosomal RNA (162 nucleotides) under uncultured bacterium. RNAcentral's name for it is "partial 16S ribosomal RNA". It matches the Rfam family "Bacterial small subunit ribosomal RNA", at positions 354 to 508 of the family's 1533-position model. The record is from RNAcentral.